GUCCCUGCACCUCCUGCCGCCCCCCCCCCCCAGCAGUAAAUAGUAUUAGGAUGAUUGACAAUACCCCUAUUUUUACAAAGUAUGCAUGAAUGGAAAAAACACAUUUUCUUCCUGUAAAUUGUUAUAGGUUCUGUUCAGGUGCCUGAUGAGAAAGGAAGAUCGAAGCCUUCAUUGCUGAACUUUUCCAUCCUCUGUUGGAAGGAGGAAGGGACCAGGUGAAACCCCGCUGCAGCUGCCAUGCCAACACUUAAACUUUGUGUACUGCAAGCCACCAUCACGUCAGAGAAGAUGCACCAGGCACAAGACCAUGAGGACAUCGGAUCCAAAGAGAGUAAGCUGGGAGUAUAAAGCAGAAUGGAACCAAAUUCAUCCACUGCAGUUGACGGUUACACUAGGGUCUGAAUUUGGCCCAGUGCAUUUAACCACCUUCACCAUGUUCCUGUGA
This 445-nucleotide long non-coding RNA is filed under the name Chrysemys picta bellii (western painted turtle). Its description in RNAcentral is "lncRNA (ENSCPBG00000027277.1)". Lineage: Eukaryota; Metazoa; Chordata; Testudines; Emydidae. The record is from RNAcentral.